AAGGAAAAGGGCUCCUAGAUGGAAACACAGGCUUGCUACUGAUUAACAUGCCUCGCCGAGGCCGUGGGCCCUGCGGGGGGUGUGCAGCCUGCUGAGGUCCUAAAUCACGAGGCUUCCGAUCACUCCUUUGUCUGGGAAGCCCUGGAUGGGGUGGGGCCUCCCUUAGGUCGCCUCAGCCAGUCCACUCCCCUCCGUACCCCUUCCUGGGGGCAAGCCCCAAGUCUAUCAGCCUCCCUGGCAUCAGGUUGGGGCCCAGAGACCCCUGGAGGCAGUCGGUGGGGGUCUGUGGCAGCCCUGCUGGGGCUUGGAGCUCCUCAAACAGUUGAGGAAGCUGCUGUGUGUGGGCCCCACCAGGCCUGCAGGGACCAAAGCCCAACCCCCUUUCCCAUGGGUGACUUGGGACCAGAACCCUGGGUACCUCCUGGGGGUGAAGGACUCCUGUGUCCUUAGCCCAGCACCCUGUCUGCCCCACUCACGCCCACUCUGCCUGGGCCCCCCAGCUCCUGGACACACACUGUCCAUGCCUGCCCUCCUCUUUUGUGGGUGUCACUGACCCCCGCAUGGAGGAGCAGCAGGGCUGGGGUCAGGCUGAGCUUCGGGGCUGCCGCCAGGCGGGGGAAGCUUGCACGGUCAGAGGUGGGGCUGGCAGCCUGUGGUCUUGCUGGAGGGGGCAUCAGCCACGCUGGCUGCCCUGAGGACUGUGACGUGUGGGCAGAGGGGGCCUCUGCAGCCCAGCUGUGGCUCCUGCUGGGGCAUCUUCCCACCAUGAAGACAGGCACCCAGCGAGGCACCUGCCAGACACUCAGAGGCCCCUGGAUGGAGGUGUCCUGAAGGCAGCUAACAGGGGCUGGGGCCUCAGGAACAGGGACUUGUGCCCACUUGGGGGUGUCUGGGUUGCCCCAGGGAUGGGGGCAGGGGAAGGGAGCCCAGGCCAGCCCAGGGCCCCACACUCAGGGGCUGAGCAGGACAUAACAGCCACAGUCCCUGGACCUGGGGCCAAGGGUUCUGAGGUGGGGGCGGCGUUCUGGGCUCUCUGGGAGUGGGGGCCUGGCAGAGGUUUCUUGGCAGCACCAGGUAUCCAUGAGGUACGUGGCCCUGGCCCGCUAUGGGGCGGAGGCCUGGGGCCUUUCGGGUCCCCGUCUGAGCCUGCCCCCUCCACAGUUCUUCCUGCUGCUGCUGCUGGUGUUCCUGCUGGAGGCCACCAUCGCCAUCCUCUUCUUCGCCUACACGGACAAGAUUGACAGGUAUGCCCAGCGAGACCUGAAGAAAGGCUUGCACCUGUACGGCACGCAGGGCAACGUGGGCCUCACCAACGCCUGGAGCAUCAUCCAGACCGACGUGAGGCGUGGGCAGGUGGGCGGGGUCGGCGGGUGCCCCCUCCCCUCCUGCCUCAGCCCGACCUGAGCUUGCCCCCCAGUUCCGCUGCUGUGGCGUCUCCAACUACACUGACUGGUUCGAGGUGUACAACGCCACGCGGGUACCUGACUCCUGCUGCUUGGAGUUCAGUGAGAGCUGUGGGCUGCACGCCCCCGGCACCUGGUGGAAGGCGCCGUGCUACGAGACGGUGAAGGUGUGGCUUCAGGAGAACCUGCUGGCUGUGGGCAUCUUUGGGCUGUGCACGGCGCUGGUGCAGAUCCUGGGCCUGACCUUCGCCAUGACCAUGUACUGCCAAGUGGUCAAAGCAGACACCUACUGCGCGUAGGCCGCCCACCGCCCGCUUCUCUGCCAAAAGGACGCCCACGGGGAGAUGGCCGCACCCACAGCUGCCUUUCCCACCACCAGCCUCGGUGCUCUGCCCCAUGCUGGGAGGAGGGAGGGAGGGACAGGUGCCUGGAGCCCCCGGAACCCUGUUUCUGGAAGGCCCUGGCUCAGGUGGCUUCAGGGCCUCCGGACCCCCCCCCCCGGGAGGGGUGGCCACGUGCUCGCUGCGGAACCCAGGGCAGGGGUGGGAGGGGCCUCCAGCACUUUUUAUAUUUACGUAUUCUCCAAAGCAGUGUUCACACGGGAGCCAGCCUGUGGCCCCCAGCCUCCUGGGAAACGGGUUGGUGCUGGAGGAGCCGGGUCUUGGCAUCCUGGAGGUGGCCCCACUGGUCCUGGUGCUCCAGGCGGGGCCGUGGACCCCUCACCUACAUUCCAUAGUGGGCCCGUGGGGCUCCUGGUGCAUCUUAAUAAAGUGUGAGCAGCAA
This 2186-nucleotide small RNA is filed under the name Pan troglodytes (chimpanzee). RNAcentral describes it as "retained intron". The record is from RNAcentral. Lineage: Eukaryota; Metazoa; Chordata; Mammalia; Primates; Hominidae.